CCCUCGAUAGCUCAGAGCGGAGGACUGUAGAUGCUACAAAGGUGAUCCUUAGGUCGCUGGUUCAAAUCUGGCUCGAGGGA
Cordylochernes scorpioides is the source of this 80-nucleotide non-coding RNA. The record is from the annotation of a GenBank genome assembly. NCBI's taxonomy places the organism in Eukaryota, Metazoa, Arthropoda, Arachnida, Pseudoscorpiones, Chernetidae.